RNAcentral lists this ribosomal RNA (475 nucleotides) under uncultured organism. Its description in RNAcentral is "partial 16S ribosomal RNA". It matches the Rfam family "Bacterial small subunit ribosomal RNA", at positions 335 to 801 of the family's 1533-position model. The record is from RNAcentral.
ACUCCUACGGGAGGCAGCAGUGGGGAAUUUUGGACAAUGGGCGAAAGCCUGAUCCAGCAAUGCCGCGUGAGUGAAGAAGGCCUUCGGGUUGUAAAGCUCUUUUGUCAGGGAAGAAACGGUGAGAGCUAAUAUCUCUUGCUAAUGACGGUACCUGAAGAAUAAGCACCGGCUAACUACGUGCCAGCAGCCGCGGUAAUACGUAGGGUGCAAGCGUUAAUCGGAAUUACUGGGCGUAAAGCGUGCGCAGGCGGUUUUGUAAGUCUGAUGUGAAAUCCCCGGGCUCAACCUGGGAAUUGCAUUGGAGACUGCAAGGCUAGAAUCUGGCAGAGGGGGGUAGAAUUCCACGUGUAGCAGUGAAAUGCGUAGAUAUGUGGAGGAACACCGAUGGCGAAGGCAGCCCCCUGGGUCAAGAUUGACGCUCAUGCACGAAAGCGUGGGGAGCAAACAGGAUUAGAAACCCCAGUAGUCCCAUGAU